UGGGGAAUUUUGGACAAUGGGGGAAACCCUGAUCCAGCCAUGCCGCGUGCGGGAAGAAGGCCUUCGGGUUGUAAACCGCUUUUGUCAGGGAAGAAAAGGCGCAGUCUAAUACAUUGCGGCCAUGACGGUACCUGAAGAAUAAGCACCGGCUAACUACGUGCCAGCAGCCGCGGUAAUACGUAGGGUGCGAGCGUUAAUCGGAAUUACUGGGCGUAAAGCGUGCGCAGGCGGUUGUGCAAGACAGAUGUGAAAUCCCCGGGCUUAACCUGGGAACUGCAUUUGUGACUGCACGGCUAGAGUGCGGCAGAGGGGGAUGGAAUUCCGCGUGUAGCAGUGAAAUGCGUAGAUAUGCGGAGGAACACCGAUGGCGGAGGCAAUCCCCUGGGCCUGCACUGACGCUCAUGCACGAAAGCGUGGGGAGCAAAC
This 426-nucleotide ribosomal RNA is filed under the name uncultured bacterium. RNAcentral describes it as "bacterial SSU rRNA". It matches the Rfam family "Bacterial small subunit ribosomal RNA", at positions 355 to 773 of the family's 1533-position model. The record is from RNAcentral.